GAAACCCUGCCGUGCUCGUCGCGCCGGCGGCAAGUUCUGAGCCAACACCUACCACAUAGGGGGCUAGUCCCUGACGGGGCUGUGCAGGCUGGAUGGGCAGGGCCCGGUGCAGAAGCACAAAACCGUCAUACCGGCUCCCACGUUGUGAGUUCAGGUUUAGAACUCAACCGGUGUACGGCACGGCGGGGUUUUU
RNAcentral lists this non-coding RNA (193 nucleotides) under Anaerolineae bacterium. RNAcentral's name for it is "6S RNA". It matches the Rfam family "6S / SsrS RNA". Rfam says of the family: E. coli 6S RNA was the first non coding RNA to be sequenced, but its function was unknown until recently. Lineage: Bacteria; Bacillati; Chloroflexota; Anaerolineae. The record is from RNAcentral.